Molecule: long non-coding RNA, 558 nt
Organism: Cydia pomonella (codling moth)
Lineage: Eukaryota; Metazoa; Arthropoda; Insecta; Lepidoptera; Tortricidae
Exons: 2
Source: RefSeq, a predicted model, not a curated record
UUGCUCUAGUUGCUCUGAUGGUUUUCCUAAGUAUUUAACAACGAAUUUGAAGGACUACUUGUAGUAUGCCAAUUUGAACGGCUUCUAUUGCAAUAAAUAAUGUCGUAUAAUGUUUAGUGUUGCAUACGUAAUGGCUUCGAUUCCAGAUGAGCGUGAUCAUGAAUACAUUAUUGACAUGUUGGUACUUAUGAUCGAUACUUAGCUGUUGUACAUCAUUGUUAUGUAGGCAGGAAUGAUGGAUAGCUGUUUUUCUGUGUGUCGUUGGCGUCUCGCCACUAACUCAUAGAUUUAAAUCAGGUCUCCAUUGAAAACCAGCACUAGAGAUUGCCGCGCCAUUAUGCUGAGUGCGGGAUCCUAUUUUCGUGUCCAAAUGCUUUUUUUUUAUGUCUGCGUGUCUUUUUUAUGUACUAUGUUGUGGCGAUAAAUAAAUGAAUUUUCUUUCUUUCUUUUUGUAGAAUUUCGCAAGCAAUUAAUAGUGAAUUAGUGAUCUGGUGGAAAGCCCCUCAACACAAAACCCGAUUUAAGAGGGGGUGGAAAGCCAGGAAAUCAGAAAGGAAC